This 497-nucleotide ribosomal RNA is filed under the name uncultured bacterium. RNAcentral's name for it is "partial 16S ribosomal RNA". It matches the Rfam family "Bacterial small subunit ribosomal RNA", at positions 28 to 507 of the family's 1533-position model. The record is from RNAcentral.
GAUGAACGCUGGCGGCGUGCCUAAUACAUGCAAGUCGAGCGAACGGACGAGAAGCUUGCUUCUCUGAUGUUAGCGGCGGACGGGUGAGUAACGCGUGGAUAACCUACCUAUAAGACUGGGAUAACUUCGGGAAACCGGAGCUAAUACCGGAUGAUAUUUUGAACCGCGUGGUUCAAAAGUGAAAGACGGUCUUGCUGUCACUUAUAGAUGGAUCCGCGCUGCAUUAGCUAGUUGGUAAGGUAACGGCUUACCAAGGCAACGAUGCAUAGCCGACCUGAGAGGGUGAUCGGCCACACUGGAACUGAGACACGGUCCAGACUCCUACGGGAGGCAGCAGUAGGGAAUCUUCCGCAAUGGGCGAAAGCCUGACGGAGCAACGCCGCGUGAGUGAUGAAGGUCUUCGGAUCGUAAAACUCUGUUAUUAGGGAAGAACAUAUGUGUAAGUAACUGUGCACAUCUUGACGGUACCUAAUCAGAAAGCCACGGCUAACUACGUG